GCCGAAACAUAUUUCUUGACCGUCCUGUAAUGGAUGGUCGACUGCAAUUGUGUGUUUGACCCAAAGAUCUGUGCACGAUUAGGCUCCAAAUUUGGUACAUGUUCUGGAUGAUUAGACUCCCUACCUGUGCACGAUUUGGUUCUCUGCUUAGUAGUACAUGUCGACGAGUAGUCUCUCUACUUAGUACCUGUGGACGAUUAGGGUUGCUGGUUAGUCCUAUAUCUGCCGCAUAGGAAUUGGGAUUUGAAAGGGAGUUUUUUUAUAGCCUUAAUUGUUUAAAAAUUCGAUAUUGAUAAAAAAAUUGGACAAAAAACUCAAAAAAAUGAUAAAAAGUUGGACAUUAACAAAAAAAAAGGACAAAAAACUCAAUUUUUUUUUGAUAAAAACUUGGACAUUGCAUUUUCCAUAUAUCUUGAAAGUACUUUGCUAACUUGAACUAUAGCCACACAAGCUAGAAGGAUUGUUGGAUUGAACUUCACUUGUCAAAAGUUAUGUUCUUGCCAAACUGGUGGUCUAUUUUCAACGUAUGCUUUUAGUUGAAGUUUAGUUCCUAUAGAGCAUCUAGUAACAUGAAUAUGAAAUCAUUAACUAAUUAAUAAACAGAUAUGAGUUUUCUUCACUUCUCAGCAGCUUUUAUGGGCUUAAAUUCAGGCUUUGAUCAUGUCUCCUGAACAAUUUAAUUACAUUGUAGCAGUUAUCCAUUAGUCAAUUGUUUGAAUGCUGAAAAUACACGGUUUGUGCCGAAACCUAUUUCUUGACCGUCCUGUAAUGGAUGGUCGACUGCAAUUGUGUGUUUGACCGUAGUAUCUGUGCACGAUUAGGCUCCCAAUUUAGUACAUGUUCUGGAUGAUUAGACUCCCUACCUGUGCACGAUUUGGUUCUCUGCUUAGUACAUGUCAACGAGUAGUCUCUAUACUUAGUACCUGUGGACAAUUAAUUUGGCUCUCUACUUAGUACCUCUGGACGUUUAGGGUUGUUGGUUAGUAGUAUAUCUGCCUCAUAGGAAUUGGGAUUUGAAAGGGAGUUUUUUUUAGAGCCUUAAUUGAUUAAAAAAUGGAUAUUGAUAGAAAAAAUUGGACAAAAGACUAAAAAACAAGUUGAUAAAAAAUUGGACAUUGCACUUUCCAUAUAUCUUGAAAGGACUUUGCUAACUUGAACUAUAGCCAAGCUAGAAGGAUUGUUGGAUUGAACUUCACUUGUCAAAAGUUAUGUUCUUGCCAACUGCUGGUCUAUUUUCAACGUAUGCUUUUAGCUGAAGUUUAAUUCCUAUAGAGCAUCUAGUAAGACAAAUAUGAAAUCGUUAACUAACUAAUAAACGGAUAUGAGUUUUCUUCACGUCUCAGCAGAUUUUAUAGAGCAUCUACUUAGUACCUCUGGACGAUUAGGGUUGUUGGUUAGUAGUAUAUCUGCCACAUAGGAACUGGGAUUUGAAAGGGAGUUUCUUUAGAGCCUUAGUUGCUAAAAAAUUGGUCAAAAAAUCUAAAAAAAAUUAUAGAGCAUCUACUUAGUACCUCUGGACGAUUAGGGUUGUUGGUUAGUAGUAUAUCUGCCACAUAGGAACUGGGAUUUGAAAGGGAGUUUCUUUACAGCCUUAAUUGCUAAAAAAUUGGUCAAAAAUCUAAUUUUUUUUGAUAAAAUAUUGGACAUUGCAUUUUACAUAUAUCUUGAAGGGACUUUGCUAACUUGAACUAUAGCCAAGCUAGAAGGAUAGUUGGAUUGAACUUCACUUGUCAAAAGUUAUGUUCUUGCCAAACUUGCCGGUCUAUUUUCAAUGUAUGCUUUUAGCUGAAGUUUAGUUUCUAUAGAGCAUCUGGUAACAUGAAUAUGAAAUCGUUAAUUAAUUAAUAAAUGGAUAUGUGUUUUGUUCACUUCUCGGCAGCUUUUAUGGGGUGAAAUUCAGGCUUUGACCAUGCCUCCCGAACAUUUUAAGUACACUGUAGCAAGUUCUCCAUUAGGCAAUUAUUUGAAUGCUGAAAUUACAUGGUUACUAUUUACUGCCAGCCUGCCACUUAUGUUCACCUGCAAAUAAGAAGUUUGGUCUUUUUUUGCUGAAGCCAGGUGGGCACCAGUUAAUAGUUGAACAAAAUAUACCUGAAUAACUGCUUUUGUUGCUUUGUGGCAGUCUUUCCGCUGAAAAUGAUACUUUGUGUGCGUGCUUAAUCACUAUUUAUCUUUACAUUUGGCACUCAUUAUACAAUUUUAGAUUAUGUAAAUUUUGCUGUUCUGCCAAGUUCAUGUGUCCUGUCUGGAUUUUGUGAAUGACUCUCAGUUCUUGGGAACAAAGUUACAUUGCUCUGCUCUAAAUCUUUAAGUCGUUUAUCUUAAUUGAUUGGUCUGAUUGUCUUCUUUGCAGGAUCAUGUACUGUAUGCAUUGUUUGAGACACUCUGUCUACUCCAUCCUGUCUCGCAGCUUCUUUUGUUACUUUGUAGCAGUCAUUUUGUGGAAAUGCAUAUUUGAUGCUUCUGCUAAUCACCGUUUAUCUUCAUGUUUGGCUCUCAUUUAUGAUGUUUUCUUUAAUUACUCAAUUAUAUCUGUUCUGGCAAGUUUGUGCGUUCUGGUUGGGUGAUCUGUAUGAUUCUCAGUUUUUCACUAUUAAAAGGGAGAAGCUGAGACCCCAAGAGGAGGAUCAUGCGGUGCUCUUCUGUGUGCUAAUGCUUUGAGACACCCUGUUUACUCCAACCCUUCCGUGGUACCAUUUGUUUGAAGAUGAGUUGCAGAACAUGGUGAUCGGCUUUUGGUACAGAAGCCAUUGAAGAUUGAUCGUGGCUUCAGAGGAAGUCUCCAAGUUGCAAGAGAUUGGACACAACGGAGGAGCCAGUUCAAGAGUUGUGGCUGCACCUCCACGAUAAGACCAUAGGAGGCCAAUCUGGUCUGUGCUGAGGCAAGACAGUGGGCGGACGCGGGGCCCGUGGCCUUCACCAACUACUCCCCUAGAUUAGGUCUUUCUGGGUCGAGUUGUAUGGUGUGGUGUUUGUCCUUCUACGGACUUGUACAUAUAACCUAUUUUUUCUAUCAAUGCAUGGAAAUGCAAGGCUUUUGCCUUUUUGUGUGGUA
Lolium perenne is the source of this 3055-nucleotide non-coding RNA. The record is from RefSeq and is a predicted model, not a curated record. NCBI's taxonomy places the organism in Eukaryota, Viridiplantae, Streptophyta, Magnoliopsida, Poales, Poaceae.